This 875-nucleotide ribosomal RNA is filed under the name Enterobacter sp. RNAcentral's name for it is "bacterial SSU rRNA". It matches the Rfam family "Bacterial small subunit ribosomal RNA", at positions 59 to 873 of the family's 1533-position model. Lineage: Bacteria; Pseudomonadati; Pseudomonadota; Gammaproteobacteria; Enterobacterales; Enterobacteriaceae. The record is from RNAcentral.
CAGUCGAGCGGCAGCGGAAAGUAGCUUGCUACUUUGCCGGCGAGCGGCGGACGGGUGAGUAAUGUCUGGGAAACUGCCUGAUGGAGGGGGAUAACUACUGGAAACGGUAGCUAAUACCGCAUAACGUCGCAAGACCAAAGAGGGGGACCUUCGGGCCUCUUGCCAUCAGAUGUGCCCAGAUGGGAUUAUCUAGUAGGUGGGGUAACGGCUCACCUAGGCGACGAUCCCUAGCUGGUCUGAGAGGAUGACCAGCCACACUGGAACUGAGACACGGUCCAGACUCCUACGGGAGGCAGCAGUGGGGAAUAUUGCACAAUGGGCGCAAGCCUGAUGCACCCAUGCCGCGUGUAUGAAGAAGGCCUUCGGGUUGUAAAGUACUUUCAGCGGGGAGGAAGGCGUUGAGGUUAAUAACCUCAGCGAUUGACGUUACCCGCAGAAGAAGCACCGGCUAACUCCGUGCCAGCAGCCGCGGUAAUACGGAGGGUGCAAGCGUUAAUCGGAAUUACUGGGCGUAAAGCGCACGCAGGCGGUCUGUCAAGUCGGAUGUGAAAUCCCCGGGCUCAACCUGGGAACUGCAUUCGAAACUGGCAGGCUAGAGUCUUGUAGAGGGGGGUAGAAUUCCAGGUGUAGCGGUGAAAUGCGUAGAGAUCUGGAGGAAUACCGGUGGCGAAGGCGGCCCUCUGGACAGAGACUGACGCUCAUGUGCGAAAGCGUGGAGAGCAAACAGGAUUAUAUACCCUGAUAGUCCACGCCGUAAACGAUGUCGACUUGGGAGGUUGUGCCUCUUUGACGCGUGUCUUCCGGGAUCUAACGCGUUAAAGUCGACCCGCCCUGGGGAGAAGCACGGGCCCGACAAAGGGUUUAAAACAACUUCA